CCUGAAAGGAGAAAUUCUUUAGAUUUACACUGGUGUAGAUCUCAAAGCGAGGAUCCUAUACAGACCUGAUGAUUUCAGAUUACUUGUAGUCGACAUCUUGUCCUUGAGUAAAUCCUUGGACUUUGGAGCAAAAGAUUGUAUAAUUCUAGAUUGAUGCAGUAUUGUCUUUUUCAAGAUAUUAAACUUAUGGAGAAUAUUCUGAAUAGAUUAAUGAUGUACAUCAAAUCAUGCUUCAAGGAUCAAACCAGCAGAAUUUCUUGAAAGGAGUAGGACAUAGGAGCAGGAUCUCACCUCAUACAAGUGAGGAGGAACAAUUGACUUGAAAAACAUACUUUAUGAGAAAAACAGAACUAGUGGAACAUGAAAUCAGAUAGAUGAACUCCUAGAAACUAAUGGUCAGAUGAAACAAGCAAAAGUCUGAAAUGAACAUGAGAAACUAUUUCAAUCUACAUAACAGCUGCUUUAUCACCAAUUUUAUGAAGUAAUUGUCACCUACUGACUCAACUGAUGAACAUAGUAAAACAAUAAACAUGUAAAUUACAAAUAUUCUUGCCAAUUUAUAUGACUUAUUUUCCUAAUUGUAUAAAUUGUAUAUGGUCAGAAUGGGAGAAAGAGAGAGAGAUGUGUAUGAUGGUCAGAGUAAGAGAAAGAAAGACAUAUGAUGGUCAGAGUGUAUUCAAUAUAAAUAUGAAAUUGAAUACAUCUGAUAUUUUUAUUAUCUAGAGCUCUGUAAAAAAAAAAUUGUAAAAAAAUAAAUACCAAAAAAUAUGAAAACGAAAUUGCAAACAGAGUUCUAGAUAAUAAACAUUAAGGGUGGUGUAAAAAGUGGGCAUAUUUUGAAUUUUAUUUUUUUCAAUAAUAAACAUUAAGGGUGGUUUAAUAAAGUUGGAAUAUUUAUUAAUUUCCUUCUGGUCAAUGUAAUUUUAUUACAAAACACUUUUGAUAUUUUAUGAAUGAUUGGUGUCCUCAUAACAGCAAAAACCCAAAUUUGAUAGUUUUAUAAAUUUGGAAUCAAAAUCCAUCUUCUCUUUGGAUAACAUUUAAACAGUAUCUUGUAAAGUUCUGUAAUAUGUUGAUAUUGUCCGUUUUUGUCAGAUAAUUUUUUUUUUUUUUUUUGUGUAACGAAUUGUAACUAUUGUAUUAGAAUUGUAUCUUUUUCCUAUAGAAUAUUCAUAUUUUUUUUCUAAAUAAAACAAAAAUUUUUCAA
Mytilus californianus (California mussel) is the source of this 1207-nucleotide long non-coding RNA. RefSeq lists it as uncharacterized. The transcript is spliced from 4 exons. The record is from RefSeq and is a predicted model, not a curated record. NCBI's taxonomy places the organism in Eukaryota, Metazoa, Mollusca, Bivalvia, Mytilida, Mytilidae.